AUACGUAGGUGGCAAGCGUUAUCCGGAUUUACUGGGUGUAAAGGGCGCGUAGGCGGGGGUGCAAGUCAGAUGUGAAAUCUAUGGGCUUAACUCAUAAACUGCAUUUGAAACUGUAUCUCUUGAGUGCUGGAGAGGUAGACGGAAUUCCUUGUGUAGCGGUGAAAUGCGUAGAUAUAAGGAAGAACACCAGUGGCGAAAGCGGUCUACUGGACAGUAACUGACGCUGAGGCGCGAAAGCGUGGGGAGCAAACAGGAUUAGAUACCCUGGUAGUCCACGCUGUAAACGAUGAAUACUAGGUGUGGGGGGACUGACCCCCUCCGUGCCGCAGUUAACGCAAUAAGUAUUCCACCUGGGGAGUACGGCCGCAAGGUUGAAACUCAAAUGAAUUGACGGGG
This 396-nucleotide ribosomal RNA is filed under the name uncultured bacterium. RNAcentral's name for it is "partial 16S ribosomal RNA". It matches the Rfam family "Bacterial small subunit ribosomal RNA", at positions 523 to 918 of the family's 1533-position model. The record is from RNAcentral.